UAUCCCGCAGACACUGUGUUCUUGACGUUUUUGUAAUCCGGAUUUCUCUUUAUCUAUUCAGUAUUCAGUAUUUGUUUU
RNAcentral lists this small RNA (78 nucleotides) under Arabidopsis thaliana (thale cress). RNAcentral describes it as "ATSL090080". Lineage: Eukaryota; Viridiplantae; Streptophyta; Magnoliopsida; Brassicales; Brassicaceae. The record is from RNAcentral.